AUUUCCUUAUAUGGACUUUUAAAAACAUCACAUGGCCAAUUCUGCCUGAGCUCACUUAAGCUUCUACUUCCUUAGAUGUAAAAGAUAGACCCUGUGACCUCUCUGGGUUUUGUUUGUUCUCUCUCUCUCUCUCCUUCUCUCUCUUUCUUGUUUUGGGUUCAUCCAUAUUUCAUCAUAUAAUUUUGCUUUUUAUUUUCUUCUAAGGCAAGAAGUACUGAAGCCAGUUCUCAAAAAAUCGAGUGCCAGCUAUGCACAAAGAAGGCAUAGCACUGUCACCAGAGACCCUCGAAGAUCAGAAUCACAAGCUGUAAUCUUCUGGAGAGACUGAAUUUUCUCCCAUCCUAAGGAGGUGAAUCAUGAUCAAGUUUUAUAAUCCCGAGGUGGUCCUCAUUCCUUUUGCCAAUAAUUGAAACAAGGCGUAGGUGGAAGAAAUCCUGGCUAAUGACCUGAAAGGAAGUCUGCUGAGUGGCUUCUAGGAAAGAUUUUCAUGGAGGGAGAUAAAAAGCCACGUUUAUUUGGAAGAGAUAUUUCUUGCCACUGUUCCGG
This 546-nucleotide long non-coding RNA is filed under the name Papio anubis (olive baboon). RNAcentral describes it as "lncRNA (ENSPANG00000046959.1)". The record is from RNAcentral. Lineage: Eukaryota; Metazoa; Chordata; Mammalia; Primates; Cercopithecidae.